AUAUUAGAUAGAGGCGCGAAUUGUUAAGAAGUUUUUACCAUAAGAUGCAAACCAGGUAAAAAGGGAGGAGCGUUCGCCGAAGAGAUAAAUGAUUGCAUGCGUUUAUCCUCUGGGCUUAUAGUGAAGAUCUAUAAGACUGUCAUUAUCAAUAGAUAAUGGUGAGCUAUCAUUGUU
Non-coding RNA from Coprobacillus sp. CAG:183, 174 nucleotides. NCBI's taxonomy places the organism in Bacteria, Bacillati, Bacillota, Erysipelotrichia, Erysipelotrichales, Coprobacillaceae. The record is from Rfam.